AUGGAUCCCAACGACGCCUUCUUGGCCGCGCACCCGUUUAGGUGGGACCUCGGCCCACCGGCUCCGGCAGCCGUGCCUCCUCCUCCUCCCCCGCCUCCGCUUCCUCCUGCGCUGCCUCCGGCGAACGCGCCGAGGGAGCUGGAGGACCUCGUGGUCGGGUAUGGCGUGCGCGCGUCCACGGUGGCGCGGAUCUCGGAGCUCGGGUUCACGGCUAGCACGCUCCUGGUCAUGACCGAGAGCGAGCUCGACGACAUGACGGCCGCGCUCGCGGGGUUGUUCCGCUGGGACCUGCUCAUCGGCGAGCGGUUCGGCCUUCGCGCCGCGCUGCGCGCCGAACGUGGCCGCCUCAUGUCACCAGGCUGCCGCCACCACGGAUACCAGUCCGGCAGCACCAUCGACGGCGCCUCACAGGAAGUGUUGUCGAACGAGCGCGAUGGGGCGGCUAGCGGCGGCAUCGGCGAAGACGACGCCAUGAGGAUGAUGGCGUCUGGCAAGAAGCAGAAGAAUGGGUCCGCAGCGAGGAAGGCCAAGAAGGCGAGGAGGAACAAGGUGAAGGAGCUGCGACUGGACAUGCAGGGGGACGAGCACGAGGACGGCGGGGGCGGCCGGUCGGAGUCGACGGAGUCGUCAGCCGGAGGCGUCGGCGGGGAGCGGCAGCGGGAGCACCCGUUCGUGGUGACGGAGCCCGGCGAGGUGGCGAGGGCGAAGAAGAACGGGCUGGACUACCUGUUCCAUCUCUACGAGCAGUGCCGCCUCUUCCUGCUCCAGGUGCAGUCCAUGGCCAAGCUGCAUGGCCAGAAGUCUCCAACCAAGGUGACGAACCAGGUGUUCAGGUACGCGAGCAAGGUGGGGGCGAGCUACAUCAACAAGCCCAAGAUGCGGCACUACGUGCACUGCUACGCGCUGCACUGCCUGGACGAGGACGCCUCCGACGCGCUGCGCCGGGCGUACAAGGCGCGCGGCGAGAACGUCGGCGCCUGGAGGCAGGCGUGCUACGCGCCGCUGGUGGACAUCGCGGCGCGCCACGGCUUCGACAUCGACGCCGUCUUCGCCGCGCACCCGCGGCUCGCCAUCUGGUACGUGCCCACCAGGCUCCGCCAGCUCUGUCACCAGGCGCGCAGCGCCCACGACGCCGCCGCCGCCGCACACGCCGGCUCCAUGCCGCCGCCAAUGUUCUAG
RNAcentral lists this ribosomal RNA (1179 nucleotides) under Triticum aestivum (bread wheat). RNAcentral describes it as "partial small subunit ribosomal RNA". The record is from RNAcentral. Lineage: Eukaryota; Viridiplantae; Streptophyta; Magnoliopsida; Poales; Poaceae.